Molecule: ribosomal RNA, 253 nt
Filed under: uncultured bacterium
Lineage: Bacteria
Description: partial 16S ribosomal RNA
Rfam family: Bacterial small subunit ribosomal RNA
Source: RNAcentral
UACGUAGGGUGCGAGCGUUAAUCGGAAUUACUGGGCGUAAAGCGUGCGCAGGCGGUUCGUGAUGUCUGAUGUGAAAGCCCCGGGCUCAACCUGGGAAUUGCAUUGGAAACUAGCGGGCUGGAGUGUGGCAGAGGGGGGUGGAAUUCCGCGUGUAGCAGUGAAAUGCGUAGAGAUGUGGAGGAACACCGAUGGCGAAGGCAGCCCCCUGGGCUAACACUGACGCUCAUGCACGAAAGCGUGGGGAGCAAACAGG